Molecule: transfer RNA, 69 nt
Filed under: Bostrichoidea sp. 1 KM-2017
Lineage: Eukaryota; Metazoa; Arthropoda; Insecta; Coleoptera
Description: tRNA-Gln
Rfam family: tRNA
About the family: Transfer RNA (tRNA) molecules are approximately 80 nucleotides in length.
Source: RNAcentral
UACAUUGUAGUAUAUGGGGUGCACGAGUUUUUGAUACUUGAGGGAUAGGUUGAAUUCCUAUUAAUGUAA